Sebastes umbrosus (honeycomb rockfish) is the source of this 458-nucleotide long non-coding RNA. RefSeq lists it as uncharacterized. NCBI's taxonomy places the organism in Eukaryota, Metazoa, Chordata, Actinopteri, Perciformes, Sebastidae. The transcript has 2 exons. The record is from RefSeq and is a predicted model, not a curated record.
UGCUGCAUGUAGUCUCACAGGACUCUCAGGUCACUGGUCUGCUGCAUGUAGUCUCACAGGACUCUCAGGUCACUGGUCUGCUGCAUGUAGUCUCACAGGACUCUCAGGUCACUGGUCUGCUGCAUGUAGUCUCACAGGACUCUCAGGUCACUGGUCUGCUGCAUGUAGUCUCACAGGACUCUCAGGUCACUGGUCUGCUGCAUGUAGUCUCACAGGACUCUCAGGUCGCUGGGCUGGUAGGUAGUAGCAGGAGGGCUUUUCUGCUGCACUGCUGUCUCUGGACUGUUUCUGACUGAAGAUCUUCUCUUCUGCUGUGAGCCGUUCUCUCCUUUUGUGUCCUCUCCACCUGUGCUGCAUCCUGCUAAUUGCAGGCUCUCCGCCACACCUGCCGCUCCUCUCCUAAUCAGUCUUUGAUUGGGGGUGUGGCUGUCCAUGGGUCUCAUUCCAGUUCAUGACUU